RNAcentral lists this ribosomal RNA (255 nucleotides) under uncultured bacterium. RNAcentral describes it as "partial 16S ribosomal RNA". It matches the Rfam family "Bacterial small subunit ribosomal RNA", at positions 140 to 394 of the family's 1533-position model. The record is from RNAcentral.
GGGACAACAGUUGGAAACGACUGCUAAUACCGCAUAAUGUGCCGGGAGGGCAUCCUCCUGGUACCAAAGCUUUAUGUGCUGAAAGAUGGUCUCGCGUCUGAUUAGCUAGUUGGUGAGGUAACGGCUCACCAAGGCGACGAUCAGUAGCCGGUCUGAGAGGAUGAACGGCCACAUUGGGACUGAGAUACGGCCCAGACUCCUACGGGAGGCAGCAGUGGGGAAUAUUGGGCAAUAGGGGAAACCCUGACCCAGCAA